ACUGCCCCAUCCCUGGAGACUAGCCCCAAGAGCAGGGACAGAAUUAAGGGAAUGAAUCCAUCUCAGAACCUCCAGGGCUUUCCAGCCUGACCCAGCCAGUCUGUCCAAACAGGACAUGGAUAGCAAGCUGGGACAGAAAUGCUCUACCCAGUGCUGAUAGAGAGCAGUGGAAAGUGCCAUAUUCAAACACCACACCUGCCCAAGGAAUGCAGCGUCACCUGCGCUCAUUCCCUGAGCAAACCCCGCCAGAGCUGCCUGUGUUUACACUUCACAGGUCUCAAAAAGGUGCUUACAAGCUCGGGGGGCUCUGAGCUGGGCUGCCUCUUCCUCAGAGAGGAAAACCUCUGCUGACUCCGCACUGAAAACCUUCGGAAGGACUCUCUGCUCCGGGAUGCAAAGUGCCUGAAGGAAGAGGUUCUCUUGAAAGGAGUCCUGGUGCCACCUUCCCCUCCACUCCGCUCAUGAGCCACCGCAGUAGUGACUAAAUUUAGUGCUUCCUGCAAGGAUCUCCGCACUGUGCCCAUCCACUGGGUCAUGUGAGUUUGUGCCACUGUCAGUUUGUCUCCAAGGUAAUCCAUUUUUUAAAUUUUUUUUUUCCAGCAGAGAUGAAAUAUCAAUAUUCAGUAGCAAUUAAAAUAUAUUCUCCUUAACAA
Long non-coding RNA from Agelaius phoeniceus (red-winged blackbird), 653 nucleotides. RefSeq lists it as uncharacterized. The record is from RefSeq and is a predicted model, not a curated record. NCBI's taxonomy places the organism in Eukaryota, Metazoa, Chordata, Aves, Passeriformes, Icteridae.